CCCGCAACGAGCGCAACCCUUAUCCUUUGUUGCCAGCGGUCCGGCCGGGAACUCAAAGGAGACUGCCAGUGAUAAACUGGAGGAAGGUGGGGAUGACGUCAAGUCAUCAUGGCCCUUACGACCAGGGCUACACACGUGCUACAAUGGCGCAUACAAAGAGAAGCAAUCUCGCGAGAGCUAGCGGACCUCAUAAAGUGCGUCGUAGUCCGGAUUGGAGUCUGCAACUCGACUCCAUGAAGUCGGAAUCGCUAGUAAUCGUGAAUCAGAAUGUCACGGUGAAUACGUU
RNAcentral lists this ribosomal RNA (286 nucleotides) under Escherichia sp. July_KB1F3. Its description in RNAcentral is "partial 16S ribosomal RNA". It matches the Rfam family "Bacterial small subunit ribosomal RNA", at positions 1086 to 1372 of the family's 1533-position model. The record is from RNAcentral. Lineage: Bacteria; Pseudomonadati; Pseudomonadota; Gammaproteobacteria; Enterobacterales; Enterobacteriaceae.